CAACAAUCUGGCUGUGACACCUGUGACCCACUGACUGCCAGGGUUGAUCUGGAUGAUCUAGCUGGCUACGUGGGUGACUCCUCACUCCUUUACCACUCCAUGUGUGUACCUCCUGAAGCUGCAUGCUUAGCCAAGAAGACAACCACCCCUGACAGAGGACCAUUUCCUCGGUCCAAGGUAUAGGAGUAGCUGCACUUCCCUACUAGACCCUCAAAAUAAGCUCUUAAGAACCUGUAACUAAAAGUGACAUCAACUUCCAAAAUCACAGGCACUAUCAGGUACCACCAUCAUUAAGUCAUAUCU
Molecule: unclassified non-coding RNA, 303 nt
Organism: Fukomys damarensis (Damara mole-rat)
Lineage: Eukaryota; Metazoa; Chordata; Mammalia; Rodentia; Bathyergidae
Gene: 7SK
Rfam family: 7SK RNA
About the family: 7SK was discovered as an abundant small nuclear RNA in the mid-70s but a possible function has only recently been suggested. Two independent studies have found that 7SK RNA binds the CDK9/cyclin T complex (known as elongation factor P-TEFb).
Source: Ensembl